RNAcentral lists this ribosomal RNA (490 nucleotides) under uncultured bacterium. RNAcentral describes it as "bacterial SSU rRNA". It matches the Rfam family "Bacterial small subunit ribosomal RNA", at positions 29 to 507 of the family's 1533-position model. The record is from RNAcentral.
AUGAACGCUAGCUACAGGCUUAACACAUGCAAGUCAGGGGAAACGAUAUUGGAAGCUUGCUUCCGAUAGGCGUCGACCGGCGCACGGGUGAGUAACGCGUAUCCAACCUGCCCAUCACUUGGGAAUAACCUUGCGAAAGUAAGACUAAUGCCCAAUGACAUUUAUAGAAGGCAUCUGAAAUGAAUUAAAGAUUUAUCGGUGAUGGAUGGGGAUGCGUCUGAUUAGCUUGUUGGCGGGGUAACGGCCCACCAAGGCGACGAUCAGUAGGGGUUCUGAGAGGAAGGUCCCCCACAUUGGAACUGAGACACGGUCCAAACUCCUACGGGAGGCAGCAGUGAGGAAUAUUGGUCAAUGGGCGAGAGCCUGAACCAGCCAAGUAGCGUGCAGGACGACGGCCCUAUGGGUUGUAAACUGCUUUUAUAAGGGAAUAAAGUGAGUCUCGUGAGACUUUUUGCAUGUACCUUAUGAAUAAGGACCGGCUAAUUCCGUG